UAAUAUCCACACACCUCAAAAGUUGCUCACUAUAGUUGCCACCUACUACUGCUGCCACAUGGCACUUUUGCACCCCAUGCCUCACCUACCAGUCGACCACUUAGGCCAAUCAACGACCCAAAAUUCAUAUAUGUGAUCCAACGGAUCACAUGGCUUUUCCCCUUAGUAUUUAAACUAUGUUCCUCUUAUUUUUUUCUUCAUUUUUCCUCAUCAUCUUGCUUUGCAUCUAUAGAAUGGAAGAAACUUUAAGAGUGAGU
Molecule: long non-coding RNA, 257 nt
Filed under: Carica papaya (papaya)
Lineage: Eukaryota; Viridiplantae; Streptophyta; Magnoliopsida; Brassicales; Caricaceae
Description: long non-coding RNA (CPAP_LNC009471)
Source: RNAcentral